UACGUAGGGUGCAAGCGUUAAUCGGAGUUACUGGGCGUAAAGCGCACGCAGGCGGUCUGCUAAGUUUGGAGUGACAGUUGGUGGCUUAACUGCCAAAGUGCUUCGAAAACUGACAGACUUGAGGGCUUCAGAGGGACACGGAAUUCCGGGUGGAGUGGUGAAAUGCGUAGAGAUCCGGAGGAACACCAAAGGCGAAGGCAGUGUCCUGGGGAGUACCUGACGCUCAGGUGCGAAAGCCAGGGGAGCGAACGGG
Molecule: ribosomal RNA, 253 nt
Filed under: uncultured bacterium
Lineage: Bacteria
Description: partial 16S ribosomal RNA
Rfam family: Bacterial small subunit ribosomal RNA
Source: RNAcentral